CCUACGGGAGGCAGCAGUGAGGAAUAUUGGUCAAUGGGCGCGAGCCUGAACCAGCCAAGUCGCGUGAGGGAAGACGGUCCUAUGGAUUGUAAACCUCUUUUGUCGGGGAGCAAAAGACGCCACGCGUGGCGUUCCGCGAGUACCCUAAGAAUAAGCAUCGGCUAACUCCGUGCCAGCAGCCGCGGUAAUACGGAGGAUGCGAGCGUUAUCCGGAUUUAUUGGGUUUAAAGGGUGCGCAGGCGGAAGAUCAAGUCAGCGGUAAAAUUGUGAGGCUCAACCUCUUCGAGCCGUUGAAACUGGUUGUCUUGAGUGAGCGAGAAGUAGGUGGAAUGCGUGGUGUAGCGGUGAAAUGCAUAGAUAUCACGCAGAACUCCGAUUGCGAAGGCAGCAUACCGGCGCUCAACUGACGCUCAUGCACGAAAGUGUGGGUAUCGAACAGGAUUAGAUACCCGGGUAGUC
This 459-nucleotide ribosomal RNA is filed under the name uncultured bacterium. RNAcentral describes it as "partial 16S ribosomal RNA". It matches the Rfam family "Bacterial small subunit ribosomal RNA", at positions 338 to 795 of the family's 1533-position model. The record is from RNAcentral.